GAUCCUGGCUCAGAAUCAACGCUGGCGGCGCGCCUAACACAUGCAAGUCGAACGAGAAAGUGGAGCAAUCCAUGAGUAAAGUGGCGUACGGGUGAGUAACACGUGGAUCAUCUACCUCUUAGUGGGGAAUAACCCUGGGAAACCGGGGAUAAUACCGCAUAAGUCCUUUGGGAGAAAGCAGCAAUGCGCUGAGAGAGGAGUCCGCGGCCGAUUAGCUAGUUGGCAGGGUAAAAGCCUACCAAGGCAUCGAUCGGUAGCCGGCCUGAGAGGGCACACGGCCACACUGGCACUGAAACACGGGCCAGACUCCUACGGGAGGCAGCAGUGGGGAAUCUUGCACAAUGGGGGCAACCCUGAUGCAGCGACGCCGCGUGAGCGAUGAAGCCCUUCGGGGUGUAAAGCUCUUUCGGCAGGGAAGAUUAUGACGGUACCUGCAGAAGCAGCUGCGGCUAACUACGUGCCAGCAGCCGCGGUAAUACGUAGGCAGCAAGCGUUGUUCGGAGUUACUGGGCGUAAAGGGUGUGUAGGCGGUUGUUUAAGUUUGGUGUGAAAUCUCCCGGCUCAACUGGGAGGGUGCGCCGAAUACUGAAUGACUUCGAGUACGGGAGAGGAAAGUGGAAUUCCUGGUGUAGCGGUGAAAUGCGUAGAUAUCAGGAGGAACACCGGUGGUGUAGACGGCUUUCUGGACCGUAACUGACGCUGAGACACGAAAGCGUGGGUAGCAAACAGGAUUAGAUACCCUGGUAGUCCACGCCCUAAACGAUGCAUAUUUGGUGUGGGCAGUUCAUUCUGUCCGUGCCGGAGCUAACGCGUUAAAUAUGCCGCCUGGGGAGUACAGUCGCAAGGCUGAAACUCAAAGGAAUUGACGGGGGCCCGCACAAGCGGUGGAGCAUGUGGUUCAAUUCGACGCAACGCGAAGAACCUUACCUGGGCUCGAACGGCUGGUCAACGGCGUUGGAAACAGCGCUACCCCGCAAGGGGGUCCAGUCGAGGUGCUGCAUGGCUGUCGUCGGCUCGUGUCGUGAGAUGUUGGGUUAAGUCCCGCAACGAGCGCAACCCUUGUUUCCUGUUGCCAUCGGGUAAUGCCGGGCACUCUGGAGAGACUGCCGGUGACAAACCGGAGGAAGGUGGGGAUGACGUCAAGUCAGCAUGGCCUUUAUGUCCAGGGCUACACACGUGCUACAAUGGCCGAUACAAACCGUCGCGAGCCCGCGAGGGGGAGCUAAUCGGAAAAAGUCGGUCUCAGUUCGGAUUGUAGGCUGCAACUCGCCUGCAUGAAGUCGGAAUCGCUAGUAAUCGCGGAUCAGCAUGCCGCGGUGAAUACGUUCCCGGGCCUUGUACACACCGCCCGUCACAUCACGAAAGCUGGCUGUACUAGAAAUCGCUGCGUUAACCCGCAAGGGGAACAGGCGCUUAAGGUAUGGUCAGUGAUUGGGGUGAAGUCGUAACAAGCUAACC
Molecule: ribosomal RNA, 1458 nt
Filed under: uncultured Acidobacteriota bacterium
Lineage: Bacteria; Pseudomonadati; Acidobacteriota
Description: bacterial SSU rRNA
Rfam family: Bacterial small subunit ribosomal RNA
Source: RNAcentral